UCCAUUUUACAUAUCGCCGGCUAUGUUGCCCUCUGCGAGUUAUUCCUGGGCUGCGAGGCUCAUUUUGAGUUGUGGAAAAGGUUUUUUUUGCCUCGUCCCCCGCACACAGAAGGGGUCAUUUUAUCAAGUGGACGGACCGAAAUAUGGCGCAUCGCCGAAAUCGGAUACCUGUCCGGUACUCCGAAGAAGAUGUCCGAAGACUGGCCUUCGGAAUUGUUUUAUAUGGAGGACGUCUCCCUUCCGCACCCUGUUCGGCGGGGUCUUCCUGAGUUCAACAAUGCUCCUCUGAAGAAACGCUGA
RNAcentral lists this ribosomal RNA (300 nucleotides) under Triticum aestivum (bread wheat). RNAcentral's name for it is "partial small subunit ribosomal RNA". Lineage: Eukaryota; Viridiplantae; Streptophyta; Magnoliopsida; Poales; Poaceae. The record is from RNAcentral.